AACGAACGCUGGCGGCAUGCCUAACACAUGCAAGUCGAACGAGACCUUCGGGUCUAGUGGCGCACGGGUGCGUAACGCGUGGGAACCUGCCCUUAGGUUCGGAAUAACUCCCCUAAAGGGGUGCUAAUACCGGAUAAUGUCUUCUGACCAAAGAUUUAUCGCCUUUGGAUGGGCCCGCGUUGGAUUAGCUAGUUGGUAGGGUAAAAGCCUAUCAAGGCGUGGUUCCAUAGCUGGUAUGAGAGGAUGAGCAGCCACACUGGGACUGAGACACGGCCCAGAAUACUACGGGAGGCAGGAGUGGGGAAUAUUGGAAAAUGGGGGAAAGCAUGAUGCAGCAAUGCCGGGUGAGUGAUGAAGGCGUGAGGGUUGUAAAGCUCUUUUACCCGGGAUGAUAAUGACAGUACCGGGAGAAUAAGCUCCGGCUAACUCCGUG
This 433-nucleotide ribosomal RNA is filed under the name uncultured bacterium. Its description in RNAcentral is "partial 16S ribosomal RNA". It matches the Rfam family "Bacterial small subunit ribosomal RNA", at positions 29 to 507 of the family's 1533-position model. The record is from RNAcentral.